AGAGUUUGAUCCUGGCUCAGAAUGAACGCUGGCGGCGUGCUUAACACAUGCAAGUCGAGCGAGAAAGCGGCUUCGGCCGUGAGUACAGCGGCGAACGGGUGAGUAACACGUGGAUAACCUGCCCGGUAGUGGGGAAUAACUCGAGGAAACUUGGGCUAAUACCGCAUACGACCUCGCGCCUCUGGUCGCGAGGGGAAAGGAGGCCUCUGCACGCAAGCUUCCGCUAUCGGAGGGGUCCGCGGCCGAUUAGCUUGUUGGUGGGGUAACGGCCCACCAAGGCGACGAUCGGUAGCCGGCCUGAGAGGGUGAUCGGCCACACUGGAACUGAGACACGGUCCAGACUCCUACGGGAGGCAGCAGUGGGGAAUAUUGCGCAAUGGGCGAAAGCCUGACGCAGCAACGCCGCGUGGGGGACGAAGGCCUUCGGGUCGUAAACUCCUGUCGGGGGGGACGAAACAGCAUCGGAUAAUACCCGAUGCCACUGACGGUACCUCCAGAGGAAGCCCCGGCUAACUCCGUGCCAGCAGCCGCGGUAAUACGGAGGGGGCGAGCGUUAUUCGGAUUUAUUGGGCGUAAAGGGCGCGUAGGCGGCUUGCAAGUCAAAGGUGAAAUCCCUCGGCUCAACCGAGGAACUGCCUUUGAAACUGCUUGGCUCGAGGCCGGGAGGGGGUAGUGUAAUUCCCAGUGUAGCGGUGAAAUGCGUAGAUAUUGGGAGGAACAMCGGKYGGCGAAASGMRGCUACCUGGAYCGGCUUSURACGCUGAUGUGSGAAAGCRUGGUGAGCAAACAGGAUUAGAUASCCUGGUAGUYCACGCUGUAAACGAUGGRUACUCGGUGSCGCGGGUAUCGAUCCCCUGCGGUGCGUUAGCUAACGCGCUAAGUACGUCGCCUGGGGAGUACGGUCGCAAGCAUGAAACUCAAAGGAAUUGACGGGGGCCCGCACAAGCGAUGGAGCAUGUGGUUUAAUUAGAUGCAACGAGAAGGACGUUACCUGGCUGUGAACUGCGUCUGACAGAUCUAGAAAUAGGGUGUGCGCUUCGUCGGUCGCCGCAGAGGUGCUGCAUGACUGUCGUCAGCUCGUGUCGUGAGAUGAUGGGGUAAGUACCGCAACGAGCGCAACCCCUAUCGUUAGUUGCCAGCGGGUAAUACCGGGAACUUUAAGGAGACUGCCCCGGAAAUCGGGGAGGAAGGUGGGGAUGACGUCAAGUCCUCAUGGCCUUUAUGUCCAGGGCUACACACGUGCUACAAUGGGCGGCACAAAGGGUUGCGAAACCGUGAGGUAGAGCUAAUCCCAAAAAACCGUCCUCAGUUCGGAUUGCAGUCUGCAACUCGACUGCAUGAAGGUGGAAUCGCUAGUAAUCCCAGAUCAGAAUGCUGGGGUGAAUACGUUCCCGGGCCUUGUACACACCGCCCGUCACAUCACGAAAGUCGGCUGUACCGGAAGUCGGUGAGCUACCCCGCAAGGGGGGCAGCUGCCCAUGGUAUGGUCGUCGAUUGGGGUGAAGUCGUAACACGGUAGCUGUAGGAGAACCUGUGGCUGGAUCACCUCUUUA
Molecule: ribosomal RNA, 1553 nt
Filed under: uncultured bacterium
Lineage: Bacteria
Description: bacterial SSU rRNA
Rfam family: Bacterial small subunit ribosomal RNA
Source: RNAcentral